RNAcentral lists this ribosomal RNA (513 nucleotides) under uncultured bacterium. RNAcentral's name for it is "partial 16S ribosomal RNA". It matches the Rfam family "Bacterial small subunit ribosomal RNA", at positions 28 to 523 of the family's 1533-position model. The record is from RNAcentral.
GACGAACGCUGGCGGCGUGCCUAAUACAUGCAAGUUGAGCGCUGAAGGUUGGUACUUGUACCGACUGGAUGAGCAGCGAACGGGUGAGUAACGCGUGGGGAAUCUGCCUUUGAGCGGGGGACAACAUUUGGAAACGAAUGCUAAUACCGCAUAACAACUUUAAACACAAGUUUUAAGUUUGAAAGAUGCAAUUGCAUCACUCAAAGAUGAUCCCGCGUUGUAUUAGCUAGUUGGUGAGGUAAAGGCUCACCAAGGCGAUGAUACAUAGCCGACCUGAGAGGUUGAUCGGCCACAUUGGGACUGAGACACGGCCCAAACUCCUACGGGAGGCAGCAGUAGGGAAUCUUCGGCAAUGGACGAAAGUCUGACCGAGCAACGCCGCGUGAGUGAAGAAGGUUUUCGGAUCGUAAAACUCUGUUGGUAGAGAAGAACGUUGGUGAGAGUGGAAAGCUCAUCAAGUGACGGUAACUACCCAGAAAGGGACGGCUAACUACGUGCCAGCCGCCGCGGUAA